Molecule: long non-coding RNA, 709 nt
Organism: Ostrea edulis (European flat oyster)
Lineage: Eukaryota; Metazoa; Mollusca; Bivalvia; Ostreida; Ostreidae
Exons: 2
Source: RefSeq, a predicted model, not a curated record
CACAUGUACAUCUGUCAAGUAUUAACACAGUUCAAUGAAUGAUUACUGUCCUUGGAAUAAAAUCAACAGUUCCCCUUGACUGUGCUUGUAUAAUCUCAUUUAAUGCUUUUUAUAUAUAGAAUGUACAUGUAUAUAUGCAUCUAAACUAAAUUAUUGAAGGUAAAUAUACACAUAAAAAUAUAAGAUAUAAAAAAGUUGAAAAUGCAAAAUCAAAAAUAAAAGUGUGGCGUGAGGCGGCUUCAAACCAAGGCAAAACAUAAUCAGAGUAUAUACAUGAACAGCCAGUGGUGCAACUGAUUAAGCUAUUCUAAGCACAAGCAAUACUAGUGUAAUAUGAACCUGGGAUUUUCAAAAACAGUACCCUUAAUUUUUUUGUUGGUUGCAUUUUUAUUGAUAAGAUUCAUGGUUUUACCAUUUGCUGUGGUUUCUUCGUUAUUUCAUUGGGUGAUGAAGGUAGCAAUCAUUGCAUAAAAAAUGUGAAUAACCCCUUUACACAGGUUAAAUACAUUUUUUCUGCAAUGCUAGCUACCUUUGUUGAUUUUAAUUGACAUUGUAAAAUUGAGGAAUCAAGUACAUUAAAUUUACCUAUAUCUUCACUAAUGUCAUUGCAGUGGUAGGUACUCGUGAGUUUUAUACAUUUACGUACAUCUUCACUAAUGUCAUUGCAGUGGUACGUACUCGUGAGUUUUAAUGUGCUAUUUAAAUGACC